UAACUGCGAGUGAAGCGGGAAAAGCUCAAAUUUAAAAUCUGGCGGUCUUCGGCCGUCCGAGUUGUAGUCUGGAGAAGCGUCUUCCGCGUCGGACCGUGUACAAGUCUCUUGGAACAGAGCGUCAUAGAGGGUGAGAAUCCCGUCUUUGACACGGACUACCGAUGCUUUGUGAUGCGCUCUCAAAGAGUCGAGUUGUUUGGGAAUGCAGCUCAAAAUGGGUGGUAAAUUCCAUCUAAAGCUAAAUAUUGGCGAGAGACCGAUAGCGAACAAGUACCGUGAGGGAAAGAUGAAAAGCACUUUGGAAAGAGAGUUAAACAGUACGUGAAAUUGCUGAAAGGGAAACGAUUGAAGUCAGUCGCGUCGUUCAGAACUCAACCUUGCCUUCGGGCUCGGUGCACUUUCUGUUUGACGGGCCAGCAUCAGUUUUGACUGUCGGAAAAAGGUCUUCGGAAUGUGGCACCUCCGGGUGUGUUAUAGCCGUUGGUCGUAUACGACGGUUGGGACUGAGGACCGCAGCACGCCUUUUGGCCGGGGUUCGCCCACGUACGUGCUUAGGAUGCUGGCGUAAUGGCUUUAAACGACCCGUCUU
RNAcentral lists this ribosomal RNA (589 nucleotides) under Phlebia sp. RNAcentral describes it as "eukaryotic LSU rRNA". It matches the Rfam family "Eukaryotic large subunit ribosomal RNA", at positions 84 to 655 of the family's 3401-position model. The record is from RNAcentral. Lineage: Eukaryota; Fungi; Basidiomycota; Agaricomycetes; Polyporales; Meruliaceae.